UACGUAGGGUGCAAGCGUUACUCGGAAUUACUGGGCGUAAAGCGUGCGCAGGCGGUUUUGUAAGUCUGUUGUGAAAUCCCCGGGCUUAACCUGGGAAUGGCAAUGGAGACUGCAAGGCUAGAGUUUGGCAGAGGGGGGUAGAAUUCCACGUGUAGCAGUGAAAUGCGUAGAGAUGUGGAGGAACACCGAUGGCGAAGGCAGCCCCCUGGGUCAAGACUGACGCUCAUGCACGAAAGCGUGGGGAGCAAACAGG
RNAcentral lists this ribosomal RNA (253 nucleotides) under uncultured bacterium. RNAcentral's name for it is "partial 16S ribosomal RNA". It matches the Rfam family "Bacterial small subunit ribosomal RNA", at positions 524 to 776 of the family's 1533-position model. The record is from RNAcentral.